CCUACGGGUGGCUGCAGUGAGGAAUAUUGGUCAAUGGGCGCAAGCCUGAACCAGCCAAGUAGCGUGAAGGAUGACUGCCCUACGGGUUGUAAACUGCUUUUAUGCAGGGAUAAAGUGAGUCACAUGUGCCUUUUUGUAUGUACUUUAUGAAUAAGGAUCGGCUAACUCCGUGCCAGCAGCCGCGGUAAUACGGAGGAUCCGGGUGUUAUCCGGAUUUAUUGGGUUUAAAGGGAGCGUAGAUGGGAUGUUAAGUCAGUUGUGAAAGUUUGCGGCUCAACCGUAAAAUUGCAAUGGAUACUGGCAGCCUUGAGUACAGUUGAGGUAGGCGGAAUUCGUGGUGUAGCGGUGAAAUGCUUAGAUAUCACGAAGAACUCCGAUUGCGAAGGCAGCCUACUAAACUGCCACUGACAUUGAUGCUCGAAAGUGUGGGUAUCAAACAGGAUUAGAUACCCCUGUAGUC
Molecule: ribosomal RNA, 460 nt
Filed under: uncultured bacterium
Lineage: Bacteria
Description: partial 16S ribosomal RNA
Rfam family: Bacterial small subunit ribosomal RNA
Source: RNAcentral